GACGAACGCUGGCGGCGUGCUUAACACAUGCAAGUCGAACGGAAAGGCCUGCUUUCCCUUGUGGAUUGCGGGUACUCGAGUGGCGAACGGGUGAGUAACACGUGAGUGAUCUGCCCCCAACUUGGGUAUAAGCCUGGGAAACUGGGUCUAAUUCCCGAUAGGACUGCAGGGUGGUGCCUGUGGUGGAAAACGAUUUUCUAGUGGUUGGGGAUGAGCUCGCGGCCUAUCAGCUUGUUGGUGGGGUAAUGGCCUACCAAGGCGGCGACGGGUAGCCGGCCGGAGAGGGUGGACGGCCACAUUGAGACUGGGAUACGGCCCAGACUCCUACGGGAGGCAGCAGUGGGGAAGAUUGCACAAUAGGCGGAAGCCUGAUGCAGCGACGCCGCGUGGGGGAUGACGGCCUUCGGGGUGUAAACUCCUUUCGACCGCGAGGAAGCCACCUGGUUGGAAGGGUGGUGACGGUAGUGGUAGAAGAAGCACCGGCUAACUACGUG
RNAcentral lists this ribosomal RNA (494 nucleotides) under uncultured bacterium. RNAcentral's name for it is "partial 16S ribosomal RNA". It matches the Rfam family "Bacterial small subunit ribosomal RNA", at positions 28 to 507 of the family's 1533-position model. The record is from RNAcentral.